This 286-nucleotide long non-coding RNA is filed under the name Homo sapiens (human). Its description in RNAcentral is "HSALNT0304246". Lineage: Eukaryota; Metazoa; Chordata; Mammalia; Primates; Hominidae. The record is from RNAcentral.
UUUUAGGUGAGAAGAAAUAUCAGAAGAGCUGAGCAACUAAGAGACCCCAGGCUCCAGAAGCAGACAAGCCGAUGAGGAGAUGAACAGAAGAGCAGAACUGCAGAAUGAUGUGGCAGAAAGAAGAGAAGGAGCAUCUGAAUGCCAAGAGGAGUUUGGCUGGCAGUGGUUGGAGAGAUCAACCUCUGGAUGGCAAAGCUCCUGGGGAAGAUCAUCUUCCCAUUCCAUCCCCUUUCCAGCUCCCCAUCCAUCCCAUUGAGGGCCACCUCCACCACUCAAUAAAACCCCC